RNAcentral lists this ribosomal RNA (66 nucleotides) under Sutterella sp. 63_29. Its description in RNAcentral is "partial 16S ribosomal RNA". The record is from RNAcentral. Lineage: Bacteria; Pseudomonadati; Pseudomonadota; Betaproteobacteria; Burkholderiales; Sutterellaceae.
AGAGAUUGAACUAAAGAGUUUGAUCCUGGCUCAGAUUGAACGCUGGCGGCAUGCUUUACACAUGCA